AAUUGAAAGGACUAAAUCGAUGACUUAGUGAGCCUGAUGCAAAGGACCAAUUUGACCCAAUUACGAAAACAUUCAGGUCUUACUACGGGCCUCUUAGCCAAUCUGACGUGAAGGACCAAUUUGAUCUAAUUACGAGAACAUCCAGGUCUUACUACAGGCCUCUUAGCCAAUCUGAUGCGAAGGACCAAUUUGACCCAAUUACGGGAACAUCCAGGUCUUAUUA
RNAcentral lists this long non-coding RNA (223 nucleotides) under Physcomitrium patens. RNAcentral describes it as "long non-coding RNA (PPAT_LNC001463)". The record is from RNAcentral. Lineage: Eukaryota; Viridiplantae; Streptophyta; Bryopsida; Funariales; Funariaceae.